This 2786-nucleotide ribosomal RNA is filed under the name Klebsiella pneumoniae. RNAcentral's name for it is "bacterial LSU rRNA". It matches the Rfam family "Bacterial large subunit ribosomal RNA". Lineage: Bacteria; Pseudomonadati; Pseudomonadota; Gammaproteobacteria; Enterobacterales; Enterobacteriaceae. The record is from RNAcentral.
UUAAGCGACUAAGCGUACACGGUGGAUGCCCUGGCAGUCAGAGGCGAUGAAGGACGUGCUAAUCUGCGAAAAGCGUCGGUAAGGUGAUAUGAACCGUUAUAACCGGCGAUGUCCGAAUGGGGAAACCCAGUGCAAUUCGUUGCACUAUCGUUAACUGAAUACAUAGGUUAACGAGGCGAACCGGGGGAACUGAAACAUCUAAGUACCCCGAGGAAAAGAAAUCAACCGAGAUUCCCCCAGUAGCGGCGAGCGAACGGGGAGCAGCCCAGAGUCUGAAUCAGCUUGUGUGUUAGUGGAACGGUCUGGAAAGUCCGACGGUACAGGGUGAUAGUCCCGUACACCAAAAUGCACAGGCUGUGAACUCGAAGAGUAGGGCGGGACACGUGGUAUCCUGUCUGAAUAUGGGGGGACCAUCCUCCAAGGCUAAAUACUCCUGACUGACCGAUAGUGAACCAGUACCGUGAGGGAAAGGCGAAAAGAACCCCGGCGAGGGGAGUGAAAAAGAACCUGAAACCGUGUACGUACAAGCAGUGGGAGCACCUUCGGGUGUGACUGCGUACCUUUUGUAUAAUGGGUCAGCGACUUAUAUUCUGUAGCAAGGUUAACCGUAUAGGGGAGCCGCAGGGAAACCGAGUCUUAACUGGGCGUUAAGUUGCAGGGUAUAGACCCGAAACCCGGUGAUCUAGCCAUGGGCAGGUUGAAGGUUGGGUAACACUAACUGGAGGACCGAACCGACUAAUGUUGAAAAAUUAGCGGAUGACUUGUGGCUGGGGGUGAAAGGCCAAUCAAACCGGGAGAUAGCUGGUUCUCCCCGAAAGCUAUUUAGGUAGCGCCUCGUGAACUCAUCUUCGGGGGUAGAGCACUGUUUCGGCUAGGGGGUCAUCCCGACUUACCAACCCGAUGCAAACUACGAAUACCGAAGAAUGUUAUCACGGGAGACACACGGCGGGUGCUAACGUCCGUCGUGAAGAGGGAAACAACCCAGACCGCCAGCUAAGGUCCCAAAGUCAUGGUUAAGUGGGAAACGAUGUGGGAAGGCACAGACAGCCAGGAUGUUGGCUUAGAAGCAGCCAUCAUUUAAAGAAAGCGUAAUAGCUCACUGGUCGAGUCGGCCUGCGCGGAAGAUGUAACGGGGCUAAACCAUGCACCGAAGCUGCGGCAGCGACACUAUGUGUUGUUGGGUAGGGGAGCGUUCUGUAAGCCUGCGAAGGUGUGCUGUGAGGCAUGCUGGAGGUAUCAGAAGUGCGAAUGCUGACAUAAGUAACGAUAAAGCGGGUGAAAAGCCCGCUCGCCGGAAGACCAAGGGUUCCUGUCCAACGUUAAUCGGGGCAGGGUGAGUCGACCCCUAAGGCGAGGCCGAAAGGCGUAGUCGAUGGGAAACAGGUUAAUAUUCCUGUACUUGGUGUUACUGCGAAGGGGGGACGGAGAAGGCUAUGUUAGCCGGGCGACGGUUGUCCCGGUUUAAGCAUGUAGGCUGAUUGUCCAGGCAAAUCCGGAUAAUCAAGGCUGAGGUGUGAUGACGAGGCACUACGGUGCUGAAGUAACAAAUGCCCUGCUUCCAGGAAAAGCCUCUAAGCAUCAGGUAACAUCAAAUCGUACCCCAAACCGACACAGGUGGUCAGGUAGAGAAUACCAAGGCGCUUGAGAGAACUCGGGUGAAGGAACUAGGCAAAAUGGUGCCGUAACUUCGGGAGAAGGCACGCUGGUGUGUAGGUGAAGUCCCUGCGGAUGGAGCUGAGACCAGUCGAAGAUACCAGCUGGCUGCAACUGUUUAUUAAAAACACAGCACUGUGCAAACACGAAAGUGGACGUAUACGGUGUGACGCCUGCCCGGUGCCGGAAGGUUAAUUGAUGGGGUUAUCCGUAAGGAGAAGCUCUUGAUCGAAGCCCCGGUAAACGGCGGCCGUAACUAUAACGGUCCUAAGGUAGCGAAAUUCCUUGUCGGGUAAGUUCCGACCUGCACGAAUGGCGUAAUGAUGGCCAGGCUGUCUCCACCCGAGACUCAGUGAAAUUGAACUCGCUGUGAAGAUGCAGUGUACCCGCGGCAAGACGGAAAGACCCCGUGAACCUUUACUAUAGCUUGACACUGAACAUUGAGCCUUGAUGUGUAGGAUAGGUGGGAGGCUUUGAAGCGUGGACGCCAGUCUGCGUGGAGCCAACCUUGAAAUACCACCCUUUAAUGUUUGAUGUUCUAACGUUGGCCCCUGACCGGGGUUGCGGACAGUGUCUGGUGGGUAGUUUGACUGGGGCGGUCUCCUCCCAAAGCGUAACGGAGGAGCACGAAGGUUAGCUAAUCCUGGUCGGACAUCAGGAGGUUAGUGCAAUGGCAUAAGCUAGCUUGACUGCGAGCGUGACGGCGCGAGCAGGUGCGAAAGCAGGUCAUAGUGAUCCGGUGGUUCUGAAUGGAAGGGCCAUCGCUCAACGGAUAAAAGGUACUCCGGGGAUAACAGGCUGAUACCGCCCAAGAGUUCAUAUCGACGGCGGUGUUUGGCACCUCGAUGUCGGCUCAUCACAUCCUGGGGCUGAAGUAGGUCCCAAGGGUAUGGCUGUUCGCCAUUUAAAGUGGUACGCGAGCUGGGUUUAGAACGUCGUGAGACAGUUCGGUCCCUAUCUGCCGUGGGCGCUGGAGAAUUGAGGGGGGCUGCUCCUAGUACGAGAGGACCGGAGUGGACGCAUCACUGGUGUUCGGGUUGUCAUGCCAAUGGCACUGCCCGGUAGCUAAAUGCGGAAGAGAUAAGUGCUGAAAGCAUCUAAGCACGAAACUUGCCCCGAGAUGAGUUCUCCCU